RNAcentral lists this ribosomal RNA (253 nucleotides) under uncultured bacterium. Its description in RNAcentral is "partial 16S ribosomal RNA". It matches the Rfam family "Bacterial small subunit ribosomal RNA", at positions 524 to 776 of the family's 1533-position model. The record is from RNAcentral.
UACGUAGGGUGCGAGCGUUGUCCGGAAUUAUUGGGCGUAAAGAGCUUGUAGGCGGUUUGUCGCGUCUGCUGUGAAAUUUCGGGGCUCAACCCCGAACUUGCAGUGGGUACGGGCAGACUAGAGUGUGGUAGGGGAGACUGGAAUUCCUGGUGUAGCGGUGAAAUGCGCAGAUAUCAGGAGGAACACCGAUGGCGAAGGCAGGUCUCUGGGCCAUAACUGACGCUGAGAAGCGAAAGCAUGGGGAGCGAACAGG